RNAcentral lists this long non-coding RNA (670 nucleotides) under Astyanax mexicanus (Mexican tetra). RNAcentral's name for it is "lncRNA (ENSAMXG00005020927.1)". Lineage: Eukaryota; Metazoa; Chordata; Actinopteri; Characiformes; Acestrorhamphidae. The record is from RNAcentral.
AGGCUCAGUCCCGGGUUUCUGCCCAGCCACAGGCUCAGUCACAGGCUCCUGCCCAGCCACAGGCUCAGUCACAGGCUUCUGCCCAGCCACAGGCUCAGUCACAGGCUUCUGCCCAUCCACAGACUCAGUCACAGGCUUCUGCCCAGUCACAGGCUUCUGCCUAGUCACAGGAUCAUUUACAGGCUUCUGCCAGCCACAGUCUCGGUCACAGACUUCUGCCCAGUCACAGGCUCAGUCCCAGGUUUCUGCCCAGCCACAGGCUCAGUCACAGGCUCCUGCCUAGUCACAGGCUUUUGCCAUUUACAAGCUUCAGCCCAUCCAUAGCCUUAUGCCCAGGCUUCUACUUGUUCACAGCAGCAGGAUGUUUAGCUGGGUGGUGAAAGUUGUUCCGCAGCCCCCUGAGAAGACUGGACUCGGAGAAGAGGAGAAAAACAAUGCUCAGGAAGUGAAAGCUCCUGUCAAUGAGGAAGCUGCAAAGCAAGAAAGUCCUGUGAAUGAAGUCUCUGAAGAAAACAGUAGUGGGGUGCUGACCUGGCUGUCUCAUGGCUUCACCAGCGCCCUCCCCCAGCCUGUAGGAGCUCAGAAGGCUAACUCUGAGGUCAAGGUACGAGACACGCUGUGAAUCUUCCUUCCUGUACUGUGAUAUCAAUAACACUGGCAAUUUAAACUG